RNAcentral lists this ribosomal RNA (482 nucleotides) under uncultured bacterium. RNAcentral describes it as "partial 16S ribosomal RNA". It matches the Rfam family "Bacterial small subunit ribosomal RNA", at positions 30 to 507 of the family's 1533-position model. The record is from RNAcentral.
AUUGAACGCUGGCGGCAUGCCUUACACAUGCAAGUCGAACGGUAACAGGUCUUCGGAUGCUGACGAGUGGCGAACGGGUGAGUAAUACAUCGGAACGUGCCCGAUCGUGGGGGAUAACGAGGCGAAAGCUUUGCUAAUACCGCAUACGAUCUACGGAUGAAAGCGGGGGAUCUUCGGACCUCGCGCGGACGGAGCGGCCGAUGGCAGAUUAGGUAGUUGGUGGGAUAAAAGCUUACCAAGCCGACGAUCUGUAGCUGGUCUGAGAGGAUGAUCAGCCACACUGGGACUGAGACACGGCCCAGACUCCUACGGGAGGCAGCAGUGGGGAAUUUUGGACAAUGGGCGAAAGCCUGAUCCAGCCAUGCCGCGUGCAGGAUGAAGGCCUUCGUGUUGUAAACUGCUUUUGUACGGAACGAAAAGCCUCUUUCUAAUAAAGAGGGGUCAUGACGGUACCGUAAGAAUAAGCACCGGCUAACUACGUG